CUGACGGUAGUCGUAUGCUCGUCUCCGAGACUAAGCCAUGCAAGUCCAAGUACACGUCCUUGAACGACGGAAACUGCGAACGGCUCAUUAAAUCAGUUGCGAUCUACUCGGCGUUCCGCGCCGCCGGAUAACCGUAGUAAUUCUAGGGCUAAUACGUGCGAAGCGCCCGAAGCCGCGAGGCGACGGGCGUUCUCGCCGGAUGUAGGAACCGACCCGGGGACCGCCGGGGCAACCCCGGCGCCCCCCGAGACGGGGCGAACCACGGUGAAAUGACGGAUCGUCGGCCCCGCGCCGGCGACUCGCCGAAUGAGUUUCUGACCUAUCAACUCGAGACGGCGGGGUAGAGGCCCGCCGCGGUUAACGACGGGUAACGGGGAAUCAGGGUUCGAUUCCGGAGAGGGAGCCCGAGAAACGGCUACCACUUCCAAGGAAGGCAGCAGG
Molecule: ribosomal RNA, 441 nt
Filed under: uncultured eukaryote
Lineage: Eukaryota
Description: bacterial SSU rRNA
Rfam family: Eukaryotic small subunit ribosomal RNA
Source: RNAcentral